Molecule: ribosomal RNA, 497 nt
Filed under: uncultured bacterium
Lineage: Bacteria
Description: partial 16S ribosomal RNA
Rfam family: Bacterial small subunit ribosomal RNA
Source: RNAcentral
GAUGAACGCUGGCGGCGUGCCUAAUACAUGCAAGUCGAGCGAACAGACGAGGAGCUUGCUCCUCUGACGUUAGCGGCGGACGGGUGAGUAACACGUGGAUAACCUACCUAUAAGACUGGGAUAACUUCGGGAAACCGGAGCUAAUACCGGAUAACAUGUUGAACCGCAUGGUUCAACAGUGAAAGACGGUCUUGCUGUCACUUAUAGAUGGAUCCGCGCCGCAUUAGCUAGUUGGUAAGGUAACGGCUUACCAAGGCAACGAUGCGUAGCCGACCUGAGAGGGUGAUCGGCCAGACUGGAACUGAGACACGGUCCAGACUCCUACGGGAGGCAGCAGUAGGGAAUCUUCCGCAAUGGGCGAAAGCCUGACGGAGCAACGCCGCGUGAGUGAAGAAGGUCUUCGGAUCGUAAAACUCUGUUAUUAGGGAAGAACAAAUGUGUAAGUAACUAUGCACGUCUUGACGGUACCUAAUCAGAAAGCCACGGCUAACUACGUG